UACGUAGGGUGCAAGCGUUGUCCGGAUUUAUUGGGCGUAAAGAGCUCGUAGGCGGUCUGUCACGUCGGAUGUGAAAACUUGGGGCUCAACCCCGAGCUUGCAUUCGAUACGGGCAGACUAGAGGAUGGCAGGGGAGACUGGAAUUCCUGGUGUAGCGGUGGAAUGCGCAGAUAUCAGGAGGAACACCGGUGGCGAAGGCGGGUCUCUGGGCCAUUUCUGACGCUGAGGAGCGAAAGCGUGGGGAGCAAACAGGAUUAGAUACCCUGGUAGUCCACGCCGUAAACGGUGGGCGCUAGGUGUGGGACUCUUCCACGGGUUCCGUGCCGUAGCUAACGCAUUAAGCGCCCCGCCUGGGGAGUACGGCCGCAAGGCUAAA
This 376-nucleotide ribosomal RNA is filed under the name uncultured bacterium. RNAcentral describes it as "bacterial SSU rRNA". It matches the Rfam family "Bacterial small subunit ribosomal RNA", at positions 524 to 898 of the family's 1533-position model. The record is from RNAcentral.